Molecule: ribosomal RNA, 468 nt
Filed under: uncultured bacterium
Lineage: Bacteria
Description: partial 16S ribosomal RNA
Rfam family: Bacterial small subunit ribosomal RNA
Source: RNAcentral
GACGAACGCUGGCGGCGUGCUUAACACAUGCAAGUCGAACGGAAAGGCCCUGCUUUUGUGGGGUGCUCGAGUGGCGAACGGGUGAGUAACACGUGAGUAACCUGCCCUUUACUUUGGGAUAACUUCAGGAAACUGGGGCUAAUACCGGAUAGGAGCUCCUGCUGCAUGGUGGGGGUUGGAAUGUUUCGGCGGUUGGGGAUGGACUCGCGGCUUAUCAGCUUGUUGGUGGGGUAGUGGCUUACCAAGGCUUUGACGGGUAGCCGGCCUGAGAGGGUGACCGGCCACAUUGGGACUGAGAUACGGCCCAGACUCCUACGGGAGGCAGCAGUGGGGAAUAUUGCACAAUGGGCGGAAGCCUGAUGCAGCAACGCCGCGUGCGGGAUGACGGCCUUCGGGUUGUAAACCGCUUUCGCCUGUGACGAAGCGUGAGUGACGGUAAUGGGUAAAGAAGCACCGGCUAACUACGUG